AUGCUUUGGCUUUCUUCACAUUUAAACCCUGUGGUUGUUUUACCUACUUUUGGAUUGGGCUGUCUUUUUAAAUUCUUACACAUUCUGGAGAGUAACUCGGAGCAACUCUGUGCUUCUCGCUCUCUACCACGUACUCUGAAAGCCUCGGUCCGUCGCAGCCCAGGUCAGGAGGCCGCCUUCGCGCCUGCGCCCGGCCCCGCGUGCUCGCGUACUGCGCAGGCGCAUCGUCCUCUUCGCCGGCUCUGUCGCCUCCUGAGGCAGCUUCCGGUCUUCGCUCUGCCUGUGGCCGGUUAUCACAAGGAGGGAAGGGAUAAAGGAAAAAACACCUCCCUCGGGCCGAGACACGACGCUCGCUUCCCGAGAGGCCCCGCCCAGCGGGCGCUGCGCCCGCCUUCUUCCCGGGGACGCGACACGCAUGCGCGGCCGGCGCUGGCUCCCGCCGCGCGCUGUGCAGUGCGCCUGUGUGGAGAGACGCCCCGCCCCCGGCCCGUAUAAAGCCUCGAGCUUCUCCUCGCGAGAUACUCCGCGCUCAUGCUCGCCGCAGGGGUCGGAGGUCAGGGCGAGCGUCUGGCGGGCAGACGGAAGAAGAUGGCGGUGGAGUCGCGCGUUACUCAGGAGGAGAUUAAGAAGGAGCCCGAGAAGCCGAUCGACCGCGAG
Molecule: long non-coding RNA, 657 nt
Filed under: Chinchilla lanigera (long-tailed chinchilla)
Lineage: Eukaryota; Metazoa; Chordata; Mammalia; Rodentia; Chinchillidae
Description: lncRNA (ENSCLAG00000025605.1)
Source: RNAcentral